Molecule: ribosomal RNA, 497 nt
Filed under: uncultured bacterium
Lineage: Bacteria
Description: partial 16S ribosomal RNA
Rfam family: Bacterial small subunit ribosomal RNA
Source: RNAcentral
GACGAACGCUGGCGGCGUGCCUAAUACAUGCAAGUUGAGCGAUGAAGAUUGGUGCUUGCACCAAUUUGCAGAGCAGCGAACGGGUGAGUAACGCGUGGGGAAUCUGCCUUUGAGCGGGGGACAACAUUUGGAAACGAAUGCUAAUACCGCAUAAUAACUUUAAACAUAAGUUUUAAGUUUGAAAGAUGCAAUUGCAUCACUCAAAGAUGAUCCCGCGUUGUAUUAGCUAGUUGGUGAGGUAAAGGCUCACCAAGGCGAGGAUACAUAGCCGACCUGAGAGGGGAAUCUGCCAAGCUGGGACGGGAAGACGGCCAAAACUACUGCGGGAGGCAGCAGUAGGGGAUCUUCGGCGAUGGACGAAAGGCUGAACGAGCAACGCCGAGUGAGUGAAGGAGGGUUUCGGAUCGUAAAACUCUGUUGGUAGAGAAGAACGUUGGUGGGAGUGGAAAGCUCAUCAAGUGACGGUAACUACCCAGAAAGGGACGGCUAACUACGUG